ACCUUCGUGGUGUAGUGGUCAGCACGCUCGGCGCGUAACCGAGAACUCCGUGGUUCGAUUCCUGGCGAGGGCA
This 73-nucleotide transfer RNA is filed under the name Stegodyphus mimosarum. It matches the Rfam family "tRNA". From Rfam's summary of the family: Transfer RNA (tRNA) molecules are approximately 80 nucleotides in length. Their secondary structure includes four short double-helical elements and three loops (D, anti-codon, and T loops). Further hydrogen bonds mediate the characteristic L-shaped molecular structure. tRNAs have two regions of fundamental functional importance: the anti-codon, which is responsible for specific mRNA codon recognition, and the 3' end, to which the tRNAs corresponding amino acid is attached (by aminoacyl-tRNA synthetases). tRNAs cope with the degeneracy of the genetic code in two manners: having more than one tRNA (with a specific anti-codon) for a particular amino acid; and 'wobble' base-pairing, i.e. permitting non-standard base-pairing at the 3rd anti-codon position. The record is from Rfam by way of RNAcentral. Lineage: Eukaryota; Metazoa; Arthropoda; Arachnida; Araneae; Eresidae.